GUAGAGUAACCUGCCGCGCAGAGGGGGAUAACGACUAGAAAUGGUCGCUAAUACCGCAUGGUGCUAGGAGGUGGGGACACCUUCUGGUUAAAACCUUGGUGCUGCGCGAGGGGCCUGCGCCCGAUUAGUUAGUUGGUGAGGUAACGGCUCACCAAGACGAUGAUCGGUAGCUAGUCUGAGAGGAUGAUUAGCCACACGGGAACUGAGACACGGUCCCGACUCCUACGGGGGGCAGCAGUGAGGAAUAUUGCACAAUGGACGAAAGUCUGAUGCAGCAACGCCGCGUGGAGGAUGACGGCCCUUGGGUUGUAAACUCCUUUUUUCAGGGAAGAGUGAGGACGGUACCUGAAGAAUAAGUCACGGCUAACUACGUGCCAGCAGCCGCGGUAAUACGUAGGUGGCAAGCGUUAUCCGGAAUUACUGGGCGUAAAGCGCACGCAGGCGGUCUCUUAAGUUUGACGUGAAAGCUCCCGGCUUAACUGGGAGAGGUCGUUGAAUACUGGGGGACUUGAGGCAAUGAGAGGGGUGUAGAAUUCCCGGUGUAGUGGUGGAAUGCGUAGAUAUCGGGGGGAAUACCAGUGGCGAAAGCGGCACCCUAGCGUUGUUCUGACGCUCAUGUGCGAAAGCGUGGGGAGCGAACGGGAUUAGAUACCCCGGUAGUCCACGCCGUAAACGAUGAACACUAGGUGUAGGUGAUGUGAAAGUCAUCUGUACCGAAGCCAACGCGUUAAGUGUUCCGCCUGGGGGAGUACGGCCGCAAGGCUAAAACUCAAAGGAAUUGACGGGGGCCCGCACAAGC
Molecule: ribosomal RNA, 799 nt
Filed under: uncultured bacterium
Lineage: Bacteria
Description: bacterial SSU rRNA
Rfam family: Bacterial small subunit ribosomal RNA
Source: RNAcentral